Molecule: long non-coding RNA, 2152 nt
Organism: Gossypium raimondii (Peruvian cotton)
Lineage: Eukaryota; Viridiplantae; Streptophyta; Magnoliopsida; Malvales; Malvaceae
Exons: 6
Source: RefSeq, a predicted model, not a curated record
UUCUAUUGCUUUCAGUAUUUUUUUUUUGAGAUUAUUUUCAGUGAAAGAAAAUUUUUUGGAAAUAACCCAUCAUUUUUUUUUGUGGAAAACUGGAAAAAAAAUAGAAACAAAUUGAUAAUUUUGUAUGUUUUACAUUUAUGUACUUGUUCCCUAAGCUUUUGUUUGGUUGGUAAGAAAAUAGAAGUGUAGGAGGUUGGAAGGAUGGAAAGUUUCAUUCAAAAGGAGGAGCUUUUAAACCUUUUUGUUAUUUUAAUCUUGGGUUUGUAGUAUUUGCAUGUGGAAAGUUCUGUUCUUUGAAAAAACAAGCUGUUUGUUUUCUUUAAUUCAAGAGAAAACCAAUUAAGAGUGUAGCUUUAGAUUUAAGUAUGAUUUUACUCUAUUUUUAUGUUGAGGAAUGGUUUCUAAUUAGACCAAUAAAUACUGUAGUUUUAUAUCGAAGUAUGAGUUUAUUUUUUUGGUGAAGAAUGAUUUCUAAUUGCUUUGGUUUUUGCUUUUGAUAUGAAAUGCAAAAUAUUGAUAAAUUUGAAAAAGCUAUAAAUGAGGGUAAUUUCUAUGGAGCUCAACAGAUGUACAAAUCAAUAAGUGCACGGUAUGACACUAUGACUGCUUGCCAUCACCAAUUUUAUUUUAUUAUUUUUAAGAGUUAAAAUUUCUAGAACUGUUAUUGUUCUAUGUUUCUCGGGUGUAUGUCUGGUUGGAAUGCCAUGCCCAUUUAUGUCAAACAGAGGGACUUCACAAAUGAAGUAAAAGAAAAGAGCCUGAGCAACGAAGGAUUUAACUGUACUUAGUCUUGGAUGGGGCUUAAUGGGGUAAAUCCCCUUAUGGUUGGAUAAAAGGCUUGUAAGAUUGAGUAGGUUAGCAUCACGUGAUUUACUGUGUAUGAAAAAUUGGUCUGCAAAUUAUUAGUUUUGAUAUACUGGUGUAAGUGUUCAAUUAUUAGUUUUGGCAUUGAUUGCAGCAAGUGUGACUCAACUGAUCUGUUAAUGUGCUUUUGUUCUUUUUAAUUCUUAGACAUCAUAUUUGUACAUUUAAAAUCAUCUGUAGAUCCAUCUGCUUUAAGAGAUAAAGUUAUAUUUGCAAAUUGGCAGAGAAACCGAAGGAAACCUGAAGAACUUAAUGGGGGAAAAAAGGUGAACAGUAGGAAGAUCCUAAUGCAAUUUGAGCAAGAUCAAAAGGAAACAAAAGAUAUUCUGUUGAAGUGCUUCAGGAAAAGUAUGAAAAGGCCAUUGCUGCACUUGCUGAAAUGGAGAAAAGAGCGGUAAUGGCAGAAUCAAUGGAGGAGGGUACCUUACAUUACCAUUCUGGACAAAAUAAAGCUCAACCGUCUUUUUCUCCACGGUGUGUAGUUGACUUCCCACUUUCAAAUCUUUUAUGCUUGGGUGAAAAACAUUUUAUAAUGGAUGAUAAAACCAAACCAGACCAGCUGGUUCAACUAAUUCUACAGAGAACCUGGUAGUUUGACAGUCAUAUAGAUAAGCUUAUUUGCAUACCAUUACAAGCCUAGUUGUAAGGUACUUUGUUCCAUUUUUUUGUACUUAAUUGCCACUUGAAUUUAUAUUCUAUAAGACACGAUACCCCAAUUUGUUAACAACUUAAUAUCAAAUUGCAGAUAUGCUAUUGCUUUCCUAAAUUACAGAUAUUGCGCUGCUAUCGCUGGGACUGAUUACUAUGUUAUAACAGCUGAUGCUUGAAUGUCUACCGGUCACAAUAUCCUCACCGGUGACUACUCCAAAAUCUCCAAAACUAUAGACGAGAAGACUACCUCAAACGAGGAAAAGAGAAGAUAGUGGAGUAAAUUGCAAAAUUGCAAUAUUUUGCAUCGAGUGAUUUCCAUCAACUCAGAAUUGGAACGGAGUCAGACAAUCAUCUACACUAUCAUCCACGUUUGGUAAAUGGACACUGACCGAAGUGUGGCAGAUGAUGUUGAAAGUAAUGCGCCGGCUCCCGCACAAGGGACCGCGCAUGAAGAGAGUAGACAUGAGACACAUGGACAGGAUGAGGCUCGGGAAGCCUUCUUCCGGAUGAUGAGUGAUUGGUAUACAGAAUAUGUUCGUGUAAAUCUGAAUGUACCACCUCCUCCACCUCUUCCUAUUCCUCAACCGGUCCCCGUAGCUCCACGAAGUGCUGAAUUGGUGAGAUCAAGAAACCACCC